GACGAACCGUGCGAACGUUGUUCGGAUUCACUGGGCUUAAAGGGCGCGUAGGCGGCUUGCCAAGUCAGGGGUGAAAUCUCCCGGCUUAACUGGGAGGGUGCGCCGAAAACUGCGGUGCUGGAGUGUGGGAAAGGCAAGCGGAAUUCCUGGUGUAGCGGUGAAAUGCGUAGAUAUCAGGAGGAACACCGGCGGUGUAGACGGCUUGCUAGACCAUAACUGACGCUGAGGCACGAAAGCGUGGGUAGCAAACAGG
Molecule: ribosomal RNA, 253 nt
Filed under: uncultured bacterium
Lineage: Bacteria
Description: partial 16S ribosomal RNA
Rfam family: Bacterial small subunit ribosomal RNA
Source: RNAcentral